ACACGUGGGCAACCUACCUUAUAGUUUGGGAUAACUCCGGGAAACCGGGGCUAAUACCGAAUAAUCUAUUUUACUUCAUGGUGAAAUACUGAAAGACGGUUUCGGCUGUCGCUAUAAGAUGGGCCCGCGGCGCAUUAGCUAGUUGGUGAGGUAACGGCUCACCAAGGCGACGAUGCGUAGCCGACCUGAGAGGGUGAUCGGCCACACUGGGACUGAGACACGGCCCAGACUCCUACGGGAGGCAGCAGUAGGGAAUCUUCCACAAUGGGCGAAAGCCUGAUGGAGCAACGCCGCGUGAGUGAAGAAGGUUUUCGGAUCGUAAAACUCUGUUGUAAGGGAAGAACAAGUACAGUAGUAACUGGCUGUACCUUGACGGUACCUUAUUAGAAAGCCACGGCUAACUACGUGCCAGCAGCCGCGGUAAUACGUAGGUGGCAAGCGUUGUCCGGAAUUAUUGGGCGUAAAGCGCGCGCAGGCGGUCCUUUAAGUCUGAUGUGAAAGCCCACGGCUCAACCGUGGAGGGUCAUUGGAAACUGGGGGACUUGAGUGCAGAAGAGGAAAGUGGAAUUCCAAGUGUAGCGGUGAAAUGCGUAGAGAUUUGGAGGAACACCAGUGGCGAAGGCGACUUUCUGGUCUGUAACUGACGCUGAGGCGCGAAAGCGUGGGAGCAAACAGGAUUAGAUACCCUGGUAGUCCACGCCGUAAACGAUGAGUGCUAAGUGUUAGGGGGUUUCCGCCCCUUAGUGCUGCAGCUAACGCAUUAAGCACUCCGCCUGGGGAGUACGGUCGCAAGACUGAAA
RNAcentral lists this ribosomal RNA (800 nucleotides) under bacterium. RNAcentral's name for it is "bacterial SSU rRNA". It matches the Rfam family "Bacterial small subunit ribosomal RNA", at positions 113 to 899 of the family's 1533-position model. The record is from RNAcentral.